Molecule: unclassified non-coding RNA, 433 nt
Filed under: uncultured Russula
Lineage: Eukaryota; Fungi; Basidiomycota; Agaricomycetes; Russulales; Russulaceae
Description: sequence contains ITS2
Rfam family: 5.8S ribosomal RNA (bases 1-154)
Source: RNAcentral
AACUUUUGGCAACGGAUCACUUGGCUCUCGCAUCGAUGAAGAACGCAGCGAAAUGCGAUACGUAAUGUGAAUUGCAGCAUUCAGUGAAUCAUCGAAUCUUUGAACGCACCUUGCGCCCCUUGGAAUUCCGAGGGGCACACCCGUUUGAGUGUCGUGAACAUCCUUCUACCUUUCUUGAUUACUUGACCGGGGCAGGCUUGGAAUUUGGGGGGCUGUCAUUGCUGGCCUCUUUGAAGCCAGCUCCUCCUAAAUGGAUUAGUGUGUUCUGCAUUGCCGAUCCUUGACGUGAUAAGAUGUUUCUACGUCUUGGGUUUCGCACUGUCGCUUUAGACCCCGCUUCUAACCGUCUUGCAUUCAAGACAGAGUUUUAAACCUUGACCUCAAAUCGGGUGAGACUACCCGCUGAACUUAAGCAUAUCAAUAAGCGGAGGCU